Long non-coding RNA from Manis pentadactyla (Chinese pangolin), 4203 nucleotides. RefSeq lists it as uncharacterized. Lineage: Eukaryota; Metazoa; Chordata; Mammalia; Pholidota; Manidae. The transcript is spliced from 5 exons. The record is from RefSeq and is a predicted model, not a curated record.
UGCUUGGUACCAUUCAAGACUCCAGAGAUACAGCAAUAUACAGAACUAAUGCAGAGCAGAAACAGGCAGGUCAUCUCUCAGACAUGACACUUUGAUAGGAAGAGAAGCCACAGAUGUAGGAGAAGGGACACAUGACAUAGAAAGGGAAGAACUAGUACUGGGCUUCUCUUAACAGGCUUUAAAUACUAGGGUGUUGCUCAAGGGAAGAAAAGGUCUUGGAUGUGAACUGAGCUCCCUCUGUCACUACAAUCGGAACAGCCUGCUUGUCCUUUCUUGUUGGCCAGCUCUCCAGGCCUUCUGCACAACUUUAUAGUGACCAGAGGAACACAGAUGAGCAAGCACCCGCGCCAAAGGCUCCCUGCUGAGAAACUCCAGUGUUGAAUAGAAGUGGUGAGAGCAGACAUCCUUGUAUUGUUCCUGAUCUUAAGGGGAAAGCACACAGUCUUCCACCAGAGGUUUUGACCUUUAGGAGAGAGCCAAUUCUGGAGAACAACCGAACUUCUUUGGUUGAAUACUCACAUAAUGCAUUGGAACAUGAUAGGAGAUUAAGGUUUAUUAGUGAUAAAAUGAAGAUCAAUAAAACAGUCCCCUACUUAGACCAGGAGCUUCUACCAUUGAAGUCUAAACUACUCGAUGAAGAUGUCUUUUGAAAGGUGUACUGCAAGGAAAGAAACGCUGUUUGUAAAUUAAGCUUUACCAAGGUAAACAUCACCAACUUCUAUGAAUUCACUUUCUAUUUGUAAAAGGAAAAAAUAACUUCAUUUAUUCAAUAUGUUCAGAAAUAUGAUUAAAUGUUUACUUGUAUUGACUUCAGCUGACACAGGAAAGAAGUGCUUUCCUUUUGCUCGUAUUACAUGUCUUUAUGUUGCUAACCUGUGCCACACGCUUGGCAUGUCAUAGGCUUUCCUUAAGCGUUCUACGUGGAAAUGAACAUUGUCAUGCUACUUGGAAGCUUCUGAGAGACGAGUAACUACAUACUCUGUCAACAUUAGGGUCUUUAAAUACGGUUUUUAACGCAUUCUUUCUUUUCCUAGAAGAAAGGUGUUUGCAUCUUCAGGUGCUAGAGUGCAAACAAGCAAACCUUGGAGUAAAGUAGCAGCACAUAAUGGUUUGUGGGUCUUGGAAAUGUGCAGGCCAUACUGUGCUGCCUCAGAAAUACAAGGGUCUGGCCUCCCUCCCGAGGAAAUGCUCCGCCCGCAGCUCCCGCAGCAGUGACGUCAGCAGUGCCUUAGCAGCACGUAAAUAUUGGCGUUUGAGUCUAACGGUAGCUCCAGUAUUGACUGUGCUGCUGAAGUAAGGUUGGCCAUGCUCUGCGGUCCUGUGUGUUCAUGAUCACACUUGUGUUUUCAGUCGCACUGACAGUGCAUUUUUGGUUUGACUAAUAGUCUUGUUAUGCUUAGUAUGAAUCUAUAAAAACAAGUUAAUACUAACUUUUCAGAUGUAUUGUGUACAUUAAAGCUGUAUGAUUGCAAUAUAGUAAGUUUGUUGAAUGCCAUCAAGAAUGUUGAGUAGAGCUUACACAGCAUCAAAUGAAUGUAUUUUAAUGCACAUUUAUAGUCAUGUAAAUAUUCAGAAUUUUACUUGAGAUUUAAAAAAAUGUUUUCCCUUUGUUUCUCUAGUAAGAUGAGAUUAAAGAUAUUUGCUUAUCUCAUAGAUAAAUGUACAUUAUGAAGUAUACAUUUUGAACAGAACUUAGACAAUGUUUAGUAAUGUUUCUAAACAUUUUCUCAUAAGGGAAAGGGGAGUCAUCAACAUGUGAAUUAAAUUCCUGAAAUCCUAAGUCCUAAAGUGCACCUAAUCAUACCUAUAAAGAUAGGAAAGACCUUAGAGAUGACCAACCUAUUCAUUGGGUAGCUCAGUAAACUCAAAUAGUACUUGGUUACACAUAAAAGAUUGGGAUCUUAAUCCUAAGCCUUCUAACUUUAUACUGUCAAUAUUGUUUCUUCCUGCUUUCAUUAAAAUGAUUUUUUAAAUCCUUAGCCAGAAUAAAAAAUAAAAAAAUAAAUCCUUAAGCAGAGAUUUUUGUUAAACAGUAAAGUCAAAAUUAUGACAGCCUUGUUUGCUUUACUAUACCCAAUAUAUAACUUGAGUAAGACCAGAAAUUAUUAUAAUUAUUUAAUUUAUAUAUACAAACACAGUCAAAAAUUUUAAUUUAAUUAACAAUUUAAGAAAAAUACUUACAUUCUAAUCCUUGCUUGUUGGUGUUCUCUUAAGUCUUUAAACUAAAAGUUGAUGUUCAAGGUGAGUGUGUUUGUGUAGGUACCAUAAUUCUGGUCUGGAAUAUCUUACCCUUUUCAAUGGUAAGCAAACAGAAAAAUCUACAAAAUAUAAGACAAAGCUCUCAUUUUUAAGAACAAUCUCACUUUUCUUCCAGCAAAAUAAGGAAACAAUAUACCAUAUAGACUGUGGCUAGAAUUUAAAUGCCAGCUUUUACAUGGAAAUAAUAUUGCCUUGGUUUUUUUUUAAAUCACUUACCAAGCUUGAUUUCUUUUACUUCAUUUCAACCAUUUUAUGAAAGGCUGUAACAAAGACAUGAUAGUUUUUGGUUCCACUGAAAAUAUUCCAGGGUCUAACAUGUAGAGCUUAGAAAUAUUUAUUGAAUGAAUUACAAAGUUUGUCCAAUAUUUUCCUAAAUAACCUAAGAGUUAGGUUUCUUUUUUGUUUUUGUUUUCCUAGGUGUAUUUGAAGUCAGAUUUCAGAAAAUUGUAUUUAGUUUAAUCUGCCUUCUUAAUGACAGAGAGAAAACCUAGAUUUUCAUUUACUUGGUGACUGUUUAUAUUUUGGUGCUCCAGAUGUGGUGGACCAUUUGGGGUCUGUUGUAGCUAAACAAAAACUUCUCUUCUUUUAAUUUCGAGAAUGAAUUUUUUUUCAGUUGAAAUAUUGGGGGAAUAUUCAGAAAGAUAAUAUAGACAAAUUGUUGCAUUGAAACUUACUGUAACAGUACACAGCUUCCUUCCGGUUUCUUCUUAGAGAAGAGGAAAUAGCCUGUCAAUACCUAAUGAAACACACAUUUAGAUAACUCAGCCAGAAUGGGGUUUUUAGUGGUGGCUAAUAUACUUCCAUCUUUGUGUAAUUUUGAAACACAUAAAGAGCAAAUAGUAAAAUAAAAAUUUUACCCUUUAACGUUAAUCUUAAUUUGGCUAUUUACAAACUAAAAGUAGUUAUAUAUGGGUGUAUAUUAAGUUUCAAAUUUUUCCAUAUUUGAAGAAAAAAUCUCUAAUCUUUUUCAUUCAGGUUUCUUUUUAAGUUGAUGCCAAAUAAUUCAAUAUUGAGCAUCUUAAAUCUAUUACUUAGAGCAUGGAUUGAGUAUGGAUCUAAUUCAGAGGGUCUCAGGCAAGUAUCCAGGAGGUAGCAAAAGGAGUAUUUUAAUAAUAGUUCAGCGAUUCAGUUUUCAUCCUAUAUUCAAGUGCGAAUCUCUUAAAAUCACACAUAGUGAUAUAUGAUAGUAAAUUUGAAAAUUUGGCCAUAGACUAAAUUUGAUAUAUAGCAGUAAAGAUUUUCUUCAAUCAAUUAUAUAUCCUUUUUAUUGUUAAAGAAUAAUGGGUAUUUUUAAGCCACUAAGUAUCACUGCUGAUACAAGCCCAGGUUAGCCAAAUUGGAUUAGCAAGAUUAUACUUUUAUAAACUAUGACCUCUAAGUUUAAGUAUUUACCUAGAAGUUGACAUUCUAAAUCAAUUUUUUUUUUCCUUUUGCAGGUGGCUAUUAACUAUUCCUUAUUCAUGGAAAAGGUUUUAUUCUAAGUAUUAUUUCUCACUGAUUACUAACAGAAAGGAGAAAAAGUUAAUGACCUAAGCUUUUGAAAUAUAUUUGGCUCUAGUAAGUAUUUAGACAUAACUACUUGCCUGUCUGGCAGAAGAAAUAAGAAAUCAUCACCAGUAGUACAUUCCGAGAUAAAAAAUUUUAUUUUCUACUUUUUGAGGGACUUAACAGUUCUGUUCUAUUACUGAUAGCUUGAGCACUUUUAGUGCAGAAUUAACUCCCAUACCAGAAAUGUAAGGAUUUAUGUUCUUACCUCGUUUAUUUAUAUAAUAUGUCCCACAGAUUACUGUCUUUUUAUUUUCUAGGCUAUAUGCAAUAAAGAAAAUGUUGUUAAAAUAAAUUAAGUUUAAACCUUUUAUGUUAAAAUUACUGUUCAAGAUGACAAUUUAGUUGCUGUUUUUUUGUUUUUAUUAUACUGAAAUUAAAUUCAACAUUUAUAAUUUC